RNAcentral lists this ribosomal RNA (1014 nucleotides) under Triticum aestivum (bread wheat). RNAcentral describes it as "partial small subunit ribosomal RNA". Lineage: Eukaryota; Viridiplantae; Streptophyta; Magnoliopsida; Poales; Poaceae. The record is from RNAcentral.
AUGUCCCGUGAUGUUACUAAUCACGCUUCCACCAGCCGGGCGCCAGGACCGGACAUAAAGGCGGAAGCCGAUAUGGGGCGGGCACCGGAUAAUCCCCCUACAGAGGAUGCAGAUAGAUUAUUCGCUACAAACUCAGAGGUGGAAAGCGCCAUGAAUCAUAGGCGCCGCCGGGCCAUACUCCGUGACGCCUGUUUCUCACCAGAGGCAUUUGAUGCCUUCAAUUCUGGAGAGGCGUACCUCCGAGCUGCUCAAGAUGGUCUAGCCAGAGCCACGGAUCAGUAUGUAAAGGAUGUACGGGUUCUUACAAAGAAGAAUAUUAGGCUGUCACAGGAGCUAGAGGAAUGUAAGACCCAACUGCGGGCUGCUGUGGCCGCAUUGCAGGAACCGAAAAAGUCACCUGCUGAUGAAUCCGGAGAAAAUCCGGAGGACCAGCAUGUUAUGCGACAGCUAGAGGCUGGCAAACGCGUGCUAACUGAGGUUAGGCGGGAGAAAAACAAUCUCCAAGACGCCAAUAUUAAGCUGAGCGUGGAACUAAAAGACGUUCGGGGCCAGCUUGCAGACUCCGAGAAGGAGAAUAAGCGGCUUCGACGCGGCAUUUUUAGUAUGCUGACGGGCCGUCCCGUGAAGGAAAUGCCCGGGUCUGCGGGUGAUCUUCUAUCCGAGCUGUCACAUCUGCACGAACAAGUUCGGCAGGUGAUGCAGGGUGUUGCCCAGGCCUUGUGGCCGUCCGUCUCCCUGCAAGAGGGCGUUGCAGAGCUUGCGAAGAAGCUCAAGGGAGCACGGCGGCGCUUCCGAUUAUGGAAGAUAUCAGCCUGCCGACAGGGUGCCAGAGAAGCCUGGGCCAUGGUGAAGACUCGGUAUACCAAGGCAGACCCAAAUCACAUGGCCGAGGUCGGACCUGUGGGGCCCGACGGAAAAGAGGUCCCCAUUAGCUUAGUUUAUGGGCAAGUAGAAUUAGCCGCAAAGUAUUCCCAACAGGAUUGUAAGCUAGACCGCCUGUUGGAUGGUAUAUAA